Molecule: ribosomal RNA, 434 nt
Filed under: uncultured Lachnospiraceae bacterium
Lineage: Bacteria; Bacillati; Bacillota; Clostridia; Lachnospirales; Lachnospiraceae
Description: partial 16S ribosomal RNA
Rfam family: Bacterial small subunit ribosomal RNA
Source: RNAcentral
ACGGAAGGCAGCAGUGGGGAAUAUUGGACAAUGGGGGAAACCCUAAUCCAGCGACGCCGCGUGAGUGAAGAAGUAUUUCGGUAUGUAAAGCUCUAUCAGCAAGGAAGAAAAUGACGGUACUUGACUAAGAAGCUCCGGCUAAAUACGUGCCAGCAGCCGCGGUAAUACGUAUGGAGCAAGCGUUAUCCGGAUUUACUGGGUGUAAAGGGAGCGUAGACGGCAAAGCAAGUCUGAAGUGAAAUCCCGGGGCUCAACCCCGGAACUGCUUUGGAAACUGUUUAGCUAGAGUGCAGGAGAGGUAAGCGGAAUUCCUAGUGUAGCGGUGAAAUGCGUAGAUAUUAGGAGGAACACCAGUGGCGAAGGCGGCUUACUGGACUGUAACUGACGUUGAGGCUCGAAAGCGUGGGGAGCAAACAGGAUUAGAUACCCUGGUA